AGAUCAUCAUGGUGACUUACAAGUAACUCACUGUGCUUUGAUGUCAGACUAUCUAAAUUUUUAAUUCAGUUCUGAAAGAUUUUUUAGCACAGUUAAGUACUUGUGAAGUCGAUAUGUGAGUUAAGAUAGAAUUAAUCCCUCCAAAUUAUAGGAGUUAAUACAUUAUUUUAUUUUAAUUUAAUAAAAUCUUGACUAGGAUAAUUCAUGAAAUGAAUUUGAAAGGUUGAAAUAUAAUGUAGAUGAUUUUUUUAGGAUUGACAG
This 261-nucleotide long non-coding RNA is filed under the name Elaeis guineensis (African oil palm). RNAcentral describes it as "long non-coding RNA (EGUI_LNC039352)". The record is from RNAcentral. Lineage: Eukaryota; Viridiplantae; Streptophyta; Magnoliopsida; Arecales; Arecaceae.